GUAAUUUUUAAAGAUUCCUUAUCUUUUAGAAAUACAUAUUGAAAUAUUUAGAGAUGUAGUGAUAUAAUGUCUGGGGUAUGCUUCAAGAUAAGAGUUGCAGAAAGUGGGUGGUAGUAUAAAUCAAGAUUGGUUAUGAGUUGAGAAUUUUUGAGUAAUAGGUAUAUGGGGACUAAGUAUUCUAUUCUUCAUACUUUUACAUGCCGUAAAUCCCCACUUAUCUGCAGGGAAUGUGUUCCAAGACCCCCAGUGGAUGCCUGAAACUGAGAAUAGUACUGGACCCUGUAUAUACUGUGUUUUUUCUUUCCUUAUUGAGAACUUUUAUGUUUUCACUUAAAGGAAGGACUUUACAGCUUCUCUUUCGCAUAUCCAAAUUGCCAGCAUCACCGCUCUUGCACUCCAAGCCAUUAUUAAGUAAAGUAAAGAACACAAACACUGUGAUACUGCUACACUUGAUCUGAUAACCAAGAAGUCUACUAAGUGACUAACAGUUAAUAUUUUUGGACAUGAGGUGACUGCAGUUAACUAAAACCAUGGAAAGCAAACCCAUAGAUAAAGGGAUACUAUGAAGAGAAGACAUGGAGAAGAGGAGGGAGUAGUUGUGACCGUGGAGGCAGAGAAUGGAGUAAUGUGAUCAUAAAUCAAGGAAUGCUGACAGCCACUAAAGCUGGAGAAGGCCAAGGACAGAUAUUCAAUCCUCCCGUAGAAGUACAGCCCUGCUAAUGCAUUGAUUUUGGACUUCUGGCCUCAGAACUGUAAGAGAAUAAAUUUCUAUUGUUUUAAGCCUUCAGUUUGUGGUAGUUUGUUACAGAAACCCUGUAAAGUUAAUACACAGAGUUCAAAGAGAAUCCGGUAAUAUCUCUAAAAGACUCGUGUAUUAGUCAGGAUUCUCCAGAGAAGCAAAGCCAAUAGAAUGAUACAUGUUGUUAAAGCAAAUUAAAAUGGAGACCAUGCCUGAAGAAUCUCUGUGCAGAGAAACCCAGUUAGGCCUCAUAAGUUAACCUUACUUGAUUUGCAAACAUAAUCUAAAAGUUAACUGGAGCUAUUUCCGGUAAAUGAAUAUAACACAACUUAAGCUCAAUCAGUCAGAAGCAGCUUUAUAAUUAUGUAGCUAGGGACUUUCCAAGAGGAUGACCAAAGAAGG
RNAcentral lists this long non-coding RNA (1141 nucleotides) under Homo sapiens (human). RNAcentral's name for it is "non-protein coding TMEM161B-AS1:28". The record is from RNAcentral. Lineage: Eukaryota; Metazoa; Chordata; Mammalia; Primates; Hominidae.